ACGUAGGAGGCAAGCGUUAUCCGGAUUUACUGGGCGUAAAGCGCAUGUAGGCGGUCUUGUAAGUUGGAUGUGAAAGCUCCUGGCUUAACUGGGAGAGGUCGUUCAAUACUGCGAGACUAGAGAGUGAUAGAGGAAGAUGGAAUUCCGGGUGUAGUGGUGAAAUGCGUAGAUAUCCGGAGGAACACCAGUGGCGAAAGCGGUCUUCUGGAUCACUUCUGACGCUCAGAUGCGAAAGCUAAGGUAGCAAACGG
Molecule: ribosomal RNA, 251 nt
Filed under: uncultured prokaryote
Description: partial 16S rRNA
Rfam family: Bacterial small subunit ribosomal RNA
Source: RNAcentral